Molecule: ribosomal RNA, 372 nt
Filed under: uncultured organism
Description: partial 16S ribosomal RNA
Rfam family: Bacterial small subunit ribosomal RNA
Source: RNAcentral
GUAGGUGGCAAGCGUUGUCCGGAAUUAUUGGGCGUAAGGCGCGCGCAGGGCGGUCCUUUAAGUCUGAUGUGAAAGCCCACGGCUCAACCGUGGAGGGUCAUUGGAAACUGGGGGACUUGAGUACAGAAGAGGAAAGCGGAAUUCCAAGUGUAGCGGUGAAAUGCGUAGAGAUUUGGAGGAACACCAGUGGCGAAGGCGGCUUUCUGGUCUGUAACUGACGCUGAGGCGCGAAAGCGUGGGGAGCAAACAGGAUUAGAUACCCUGGUAGUCCACGCCGUAAACGAUGAGUGCUAAGUGUUAGGGGGUUUCCGCCCCUUAGUGCUGCAGCUAACGCAUUAAGCACUCCGCCUGGGGAGUACGGCCGCAAGGCUG